Molecule: ribosomal RNA, 253 nt
Filed under: uncultured bacterium
Lineage: Bacteria
Description: partial 16S ribosomal RNA
Rfam family: Bacterial small subunit ribosomal RNA
Source: RNAcentral
UACGUAGGGGGCAAGCGUUGUCCGGAUUUAUUGGGCGUAAAGAGCGUGUAGGCGGCUAGGUAGGUCCGUUGUGAAAACUCGAGGCUCAACCUCGAGACGUCGAUGGAAACCAUCUAGCUAGAGUCCGGAAGAGGAGAGUGGAAUUCCUGGUGUAGCGGUGAAAUGCGCAGAUAUCAGGAAGAACACCCGUGGCGAAGGCGGCUCUUUGGUACGUGACUGACGCUGAGACGCGAAAGCGUGGGGAGCAAACAGG